AGAAACUUAGGAUCAACCCAAACCGAAGGCCUUCAAAGCCUUAAACAAGAGUUAAACCCUCUUAGUUUCUG
Balearica pavonina (black crowned-crane) is the source of this 71-nucleotide transfer RNA. It matches the Rfam family "tRNA". Rfam says of the family: Transfer RNA (tRNA) molecules are approximately 80 nucleotides in length. Their secondary structure includes four short double-helical elements and three loops (D, anti-codon, and T loops). Further hydrogen bonds mediate the characteristic L-shaped molecular structure. tRNAs have two regions of fundamental functional importance: the anti-codon, which is responsible for specific mRNA codon recognition, and the 3' end, to which the tRNAs corresponding amino acid is attached (by aminoacyl-tRNA synthetases). tRNAs cope with the degeneracy of the genetic code in two manners: having more than one tRNA (with a specific anti-codon) for a particular amino acid; and 'wobble' base-pairing, i.e. permitting non-standard base-pairing at the 3rd anti-codon position. NCBI's taxonomy places the organism in Eukaryota, Metazoa, Chordata, Aves, Gruiformes, Gruidae. The record is from Rfam.